This 429-nucleotide ribosomal RNA is filed under the name Gemmatimonadota bacterium. Its description in RNAcentral is "Gemmatimonadetes bacterium partial 16S ribosomal RNA". It matches the Rfam family "Bacterial small subunit ribosomal RNA", at positions 355 to 776 of the family's 1533-position model. Lineage: Bacteria; Pseudomonadati; Gemmatimonadota. The record is from RNAcentral.
UAGGGAAUCUUCGGUAAUGGACGAAAGUCUGACUGAGCAACGCCGCGUGAGUGAAGAAGGUUUUCGGAUCGUAAAACUCUGUUGUUAGAGAAGAACAAGGACGUUAGUAACUGAACGUCCCCUGACGGUAUCUAACCAGAAAGCCACGGCUAACUACGUGCCAGCAGCCGCGGUAAUACGUAGGUGGCAAGCGUUGUCCGGAUUUAUUGGGCGUAAAGCGAGCGCAGGCGGUUUCUUAAGUCUGAUGUGAAAGCCCCCGGCUCAACCGGGGAGGGUCAUUGGAAACUGGGAGACUUGAGUGCAGAAGAAGAGAGUGGAAUUCCAUGUGGGGCGGUGAAAUGCGUAGAUAUAUGGAGGAACACCAGUGGCGAAGGCGGCUCUCUGGUCUGUAACUGACGCUGAGGCUCGAAAGCGUGGGGAGCAAACAGG